CCGCUCUGGGUCGCCUGCAGACGCCAUUUUUCUUCUCGACUCUCCCUCCGUUGAAAACACAGCAGGCCUCAGAGCUGCGUCAAGCUAACGUCAGCUAGCAGUGGUUGAACCUGAAGUGAAGCGCUCUUUACUUCAAAGAGUUCGCUGAAGCAGAUCCGGAAGUCCUGCGUGUGUUCUCUAACUUGACGCAAGCAGGCCUGAGUGGAUACGAGGUCACGUGACUCACUAUUCUACAAUAGACGCAAUAGCCGUGCUAGUUCAUAAAAUUAGUUAUCCAUGCAAACGCUACCCGCCAGUAGUACUUUAUUAGUGUUUGCUACUUCUGGUGGAUGCUUUUAAUCACAGGCGGGCCGAAUAUAUUCUAUGGAAAACCAUCGUUCGUUUUCAGCCAUGUCGCCAUCGUCGUCACAGCAAAGCGAGACGAGAAGAUAAUACGUACGACACUGAGCUCUAUUACAUGGACAUAAAUAAGCCAUCAUUAAAGUUAAUACCGCACCUCCUUUUGCACGUGGGGCCUGCUGCAAUUUAUCUCUCAAAUAAAUGCAUUUCAUACAACUUUAAAA
This is a long non-coding RNA of Acanthochromis polyacanthus (spiny chromis), 563 nucleotides long. RefSeq lists it as uncharacterized. The record is from RefSeq and is a predicted model, not a curated record. The transcript has 2 exons. NCBI's taxonomy places the organism in Eukaryota, Metazoa, Chordata, Actinopteri, Pomacentridae.